This 1306-nucleotide unclassified non-coding RNA is filed under the name Hevea brasiliensis (rubber tree). The record is from RNAcentral. Lineage: Eukaryota; Viridiplantae; Streptophyta; Magnoliopsida; Malpighiales; Euphorbiaceae.
AAAUCCAUUGUGGCCGUCCCAAUAUAUAUACAGUUGGAUUUUUGUUUUUUGCAUCUCUCUGAUUCCCUUUUAUCUCUUCCCCCUUUUCCUCCCUUCUUAUAUAGGGUAUAUACCCCAUAUUAUGCCUACAGCCUAUAUAGCAUAAGCCACCAUAGCUAAAUUUGGUGAAUUUGAUGAUUUGGGUCGGUUAAAAAUCCAAUCUUUAUAAUACCCUUUUGAAAUCUCAGCUCAGAUUUGUAAGAUGGAUACGCAGAAUCUGGAACAUGGACAAGUAAUUGAGGUGAGUGUUGACAUAACAGGUCAAGAGAAGGGGACUAAAAUCUGUGGUUCAGGACCGUGUGGAUUCUCAGAUGUUAACACCAUGUCUAAGGAUGCACAGGAGAGAUCAGCAUCUAUGAGGAAACUGUUCAUUGCGGUUGUCCUAUGCAUCAUUUUUAUGGCUGUCGAGGUUGUCGGAGGUAUUAAAGCCAACAGUCUUGCAAUUUUGACGGAUGCGGCUCAUCUAUUGUCAGAUGUUGCAGCUUUUGCAAUAUCCUUGUUUUCACUCUGGGCAUCAGGAUGGGAGGCUAAUCCACGCCAGUCCUAUGGGUUUUUUAGAAUUGAGAUACUUGGGGCACUAGUUUCUAUCCAAAUGAUAUGGCUUCUAGCUGGGAUCCUUGUUUACGAAGCCAUUGCUCGACUUAUACAUGAUACAGGUGAAGUUCAAGGUUUCCUCAUGUUUGUGGUGUCUGCAUUUGGAUUAGGAGUGAACCUCAUCAUGGCACUCUUGCUAGGUCAUGAUCACGGCCACGGCCACGGCCAUGGACACAGCCACGGUCAUGACCACGGCCAUGAACACAGUCAUAGUCAUGAAGAGCAUGCUCAUAGCCACGGUGAUCAUGAACAUGCCCACGGUGAGCAUAAACAUAUACAUGGAAUUAGUGUUAGCCGACACCAUCACCAUAAUGAGGGACCUUCAAACCGAGAUCAACACAUCCAUGCACACGACGCUGACAACACUGUGCCUCUACUUAAGGAUUCCUGUGAGGGUGAAGGUGAAAAGAAAAAGAAGCAGCGGAAUAUAAAUGUUCAGGGGGCUUAUCUUCAUGUAUUAGGAGAUUCUAUUCAGAGCAUAGGCGUCAUGAUUGGAGGAGCUAUCAUAUGGUAUAAACCAGAAUGGAAAAUCAUUGAUCCCAUCUGCACUCUCAUUUUCUCUGUCAUUGUUCUUGCCACAACCAUUAGGAUGAUUCGGAGUAUUCUUGAAGUAUUAAUGGAGAGCACACCUAGAGAAAUCGACGCAACAAGGCUUGAGAAGGGUCUUUGUGAG